This 370-nucleotide ribosomal RNA is filed under the name uncultured bacterium. Its description in RNAcentral is "partial 16S ribosomal RNA". It matches the Rfam family "Bacterial small subunit ribosomal RNA", at positions 338 to 700 of the family's 1533-position model. The record is from RNAcentral.
CCUACGGGAGGCAGCAGUAGGGAAUCUUCCACAAUGGGCGCAAGCCUGAUGGAGCAACACCGCGUGAGUGAAGAAGGGUUUCGGCUCGUAAAGCUCUGUUGUUGGAGAAGAACGUGCGGGAGAGUAACUGUUCACGCAGGGACGGUAUCAAACCAGAAAGUCACGGCUAACUACGUGCCAGCAGCCGCGGUAAUACGUAGGUGGCAAGCGUUAUCCGGCUUUAGUGGGCGGAAAGCGAGCGCAGGCGGUCGCUUAGGUCUGAGGUGAAAGCCUUCGGCUUAACCGAAGAAGUGCAUCGGAAACCGGGCGACUUGAGUGCAGCAGAGGCCAGUGGACCUCCCUUUGUAGCGGUGGAAUGCGUAGCUAUAUG